This 208-nucleotide unclassified non-coding RNA is filed under the name Hevea brasiliensis (rubber tree). Lineage: Eukaryota; Viridiplantae; Streptophyta; Magnoliopsida; Malpighiales; Euphorbiaceae. The record is from RNAcentral.
GAAACAGUUUGCACCCCUGUGACACCUGCUCUGUUUGCCUUGAUUUUACACAACACACAAAGCUUUUAUCUGGGAGCAGGGAGGAGAAAAAAGGGCUUUGAUUUUGGGAGGGGGAGACGUAUUGAUUUUCUUGACAUUGGGCUCUCCUUGGCAUUAGAGGUGUUCUUUCCUCUCAGCUCUGAUUACCUAUGUGCAGAGUAAGCUGGGC